GUGGGGAAUAUUGCACAAUGGGCGAAAGCCUGAUGCAGCAACGCCGCGUGAGGGACGACGGCCUUCGGGUUGUAAACCUCUUUUAGUAGGGAAGAAGCGAAAGUGACGGUACCUGCAGAAAAAGCACCGGCUAACUACGUGCCAGCAGCCGCGGUAAUACGUAGGGUGCAAGCGUUAUCCGGAAUUAUUGGGCGUAAAGAGCUCGUAGGCGGUCUGUCGCGUCAGCUGUGAAAACUGGAGGCUCAACCUCCAGCCUGCAGUGGGUACGGGCAGACUAGAGUGCGGUAGGGGAGAUUGGAAUUCCUGGUGUAGCGGUGGAAUGCGCAGAUAUCAGGAGGAACACCGAUGGCGAAGGCAGAUCUCUGGGCCGUAACUGACGCUGAGGAGCGAAAGCGUGGGGAGCGAACAGGAUUAGAUACCCGGGUAGUCC
RNAcentral lists this ribosomal RNA (430 nucleotides) under uncultured bacterium. RNAcentral's name for it is "partial 16S ribosomal RNA". It matches the Rfam family "Bacterial small subunit ribosomal RNA", at positions 354 to 796 of the family's 1533-position model. The record is from RNAcentral.